AUUUAGGUAGCGCCUCGUGAACUCAUCUCCGGGGGUAGAGCACUGUUUCGGCAAGGGGGUCAUCCCGACUUACCAACCCGAUGCAAACUGCGAAUACCGGAGAAUGUUAUCACGGGAGACACACGGCGGGUGCUAACGUCCGUCGUGAAGAGGGAAACAACCCAGACCGCCAGCUAAGGUCCCAAAGUCAUGGUUAAGUGGGAAACGAUGUGGGAAGGCCCAGACAGCCAGGAUGUUGGCUUAGAAGCAGCCAUCAUUUAAAGAAAGCGUAAUAGCUCACUGGUCGAGUCGGCCUGCGCGGAAGAUGUAACGGGGCUAAACCAUGCACCGAAGCUGCGGCAGCGACGCUUAUGCGUUGUUGGGUAGGGGAGCGUUCUGUAAGCCUGCGAAGGUGUACUGUGAGGUAUGCUGGAGGUAUCAGAAGUGCGAAUGCUGACAUAAGUAACGAUAAAGCGGGUGAAAAGCCCGCUCGCCGGAAGACCAAGGGUUCCUGUCCAACGUUAAUCGGGGCAGGGUGAGUCGACCCCUAAGGCGAGGCCGAAAGGCGUAGUCGAUGGGAAACAGGUUAAUAUUCCUGUACUUGGUGUUACUGCGAAGGGGGGACGGAGAAGGCUAUGUUGGCCGGGCGACGGUUGUCCCGGUUUAAGCGUGUAGGCUGGUUUUCCAGGCAAAUCCGGAAAAUCAAGGCUGAGGCGUGAUGACGAGGCACUACGGUGCUGAAGCAACAAAUGCCCUGCUUCCAGGAAAAGCCUCUAAGCAUCAGGUAACAUCAAAUCGUACCCCAAACCGACACAGGUGGUCAGGUAGAGAAUACCAAGGCGCUUGAGAGAACUCGGGUGAAGGAACUAGGCAAAAUGGUGCCGUAACUUCGGGAGAAGGCACGCUGAUAUGUAGGUGAAGUCCCUCGCGGAUGGAGCUGAAAUCAGUCGAAGAUACCAGCUGGCUGCAACUGUUUAUUAAAAACACAGCACUGUGCAAACACGAAAGUGGACGUAUACGGUGUGACGCCUGCCCGGUGCCGGAA
This 1024-nucleotide ribosomal RNA is filed under the name Escherichia coli. Its description in RNAcentral is "partial 23S ribosomal RNA". It matches the Rfam family "Bacterial large subunit ribosomal RNA", at positions 868 to 1874 of the family's 2925-position model. Lineage: Bacteria; Pseudomonadati; Pseudomonadota; Gammaproteobacteria; Enterobacterales; Enterobacteriaceae. The record is from RNAcentral.